Episyrphus balteatus (marmalade hoverfly) is the source of this 606-nucleotide long non-coding RNA. RefSeq lists it as uncharacterized. The transcript is spliced from 2 exons. The record is from RefSeq and is a predicted model, not a curated record. NCBI's taxonomy places the organism in Eukaryota, Metazoa, Arthropoda, Insecta, Diptera, Syrphidae.
UGCAAAGUGGAAAACAAAACAUUAUCUGCAUACGAAAAAAAGAAAAAUAGGAAACAAAAUGAAACAAACAAAAAAUUUAUUCACCCACUGGUUGGCUGGGAUAAAUGAAUUAUCUUGUCAACCAGCAAUAUGCACGAGAAAUCCAUUAUUUUAUUUCUUCAUUUUCGGUACACAGCGCAAAGUUAACUGCUGAUAAAAAGUUAUAAUCAUGAAUCACAGAUAUAGAGGAGGGGCAGAACUGGUACAAGUACUAGUGGCGACGAGAAGAGGGAGGGAGUAUAUUGUGUGGCUUCAAUUAGCUAGCUGGCAGCGGACUAUGUUAUCUUAUGCUGCUCAGACACCCAUGUCGUCGUCGGUCGUAGUCGUCGUCAUAUUCAUCUUCGAAUCGAAUCGACUACGACAUGUCGAUGAGUAAUUGAUAUCUAACCUUGUCUGGCUUUUCAUUAAUUAUUCAUUUAACCCAAAGAAUAAUAAAUUCUUUUACUUUGACACUGGCCGGUUCAUACAAGACCGAUAGAAGAAAUAAGAAGACACAAAUAAUGAAUACCUACUUUGGAGAGAUAAAAAAAAAAAUAAGGAAAUCUUAGAAAGAUAGAAGCCAUUGAC